GACGUGACUUCAGAGUUUGAUCCUGGCUCAGGACUGAACGCUGGCGGCGUGCCUAACACAUGCAAGUCGAACGGGACUAUUCAGAGAUGUUUUCGGACUGAUCUUUAUAGUUUAGUGGCGGACGGGUGAGUAACGCGUGGACAACCUGCCUUUCACAGGGGGAUAGCAGCUGGAAACGGCUGGUAAUACCGCAUAUGCUCAGUGCACCGCAUGGUGUGCUGAGGAAAGAUUUAUCGGUGAAAGAUGGAUCCGCGUCUGAUUAGCCAGUUGGCGGGGUAACGGCCCACCAAAGCGACGAUCAGUAGCCGGCCUGAGAGGGCGGACGGCCACAUUGGGACUGAGACACGGCCCAG
RNAcentral lists this ribosomal RNA (353 nucleotides) under uncultured bacterium. Its description in RNAcentral is "bacterial SSU rRNA". It matches the Rfam family "Bacterial small subunit ribosomal RNA", at positions 1 to 334 of the family's 1533-position model. The record is from RNAcentral.